Molecule: ribosomal RNA, 438 nt
Filed under: uncultured bacterium
Lineage: Bacteria
Description: bacterial SSU rRNA
Rfam family: Bacterial small subunit ribosomal RNA
Source: RNAcentral
GAACGCGAAGAACCUUACCAGGUCUUGACAUCCCUCUGAACCGCUCUAGAAGAAUAGAAGUUUUCCUUCGGGACAGAGGUGACAGGUGGUGCAUGGUUGUCGUCAGCUCGUGUCGUGAGAUGUUGGGUUAAGUCCCGCAACGAGCGCAACCCCUAUUGUUAGUUGCCAUCAUUCAGUUGGGCACUCUAGCGAGACUGCCGGUAAUAAACCGGAGGAAGGUGGGGAUGACGUCAAAUCAUCAUGCCCCUUAUGACUUGGGCUACACACGUGCUACAAUGGAUGGUACAACGAGCAGCGAACUCGCGAGGGUAAGCGAAUCUCUUAAAGCCAUUCUCAGUUCGGAUUGGAGUCUGCAACCCGACUCCAUGAAGCUGGAUUCGCUAGUAAUCGCGCAUCAGCCAUGGCGCGGUGAAUACGUUCCCGGGUCUUGUACACACC